CUCACCUCUCUACAACAGCAGCCUAUCCAUGGCAAUUUAUCCUGUAUUUUUCUAUUGCCUGUGAGAGGAAGGGAUGGAAGCAGAGAGGAGAAAAGCAAGCAAGCAACUAAAAAAAUGGCAAGUCACAGGAGUUGUUACUUUUGCAGGAAAUCAUUAGGGGGAAGGUGUAUGCCAGUGAAACCCUCCAGUUACGCAGGAACUCAGCCUUUUGAAGCUUCGCCCCGAGGGAGAGACCUUUUGUCGGCUGAUCUCCUGUUCCAUGAGGACAGAUCAGAGACCCCCAACCGUAUAAAGAAGUGACUCACGGGGAUGCUUGUUCUAAGCCAAGGCAGGGAUCCUCAUGGUUCUGCGUUCUGCAGCAUUCGACCCUGAAAUAUUCCCACCUGAAAAUCGAUGCAGCUCUCGGGCAAAGGGGUGUGACUGUUAUUCAUAUUAUUGAACCGCCGAGUGACAGCAGCAGCAGGAUGCUUUCAGAAAAAGGCCCCGUGCCCAGUGGAAAAGCCGGUCAGUAAAAGCACAACUCCAUCAAAUAUCCCUAAGCCAUCUACUCACUGCACGUCCUUGUCUGUUUCCCUGUCUCCUGUCGGAAGGACACUUGUUGCGUGUGCGCUUAGAGCUGGAGGGAUGCCACAGAUAUGGUCCACAAACGUUUUCAGAUUUUUAAAUGAAUUUCAUUCCGCCGGGUUCACAA
Malaclemys terrapin pileata is the source of this 691-nucleotide long non-coding RNA. RefSeq lists it as uncharacterized. The record is from RefSeq and is a predicted model, not a curated record. Lineage: Eukaryota; Metazoa; Chordata; Testudines; Emydidae. The transcript has 3 exons.